RNAcentral lists this long non-coding RNA (3670 nucleotides) under Prunus persica (peach). RNAcentral describes it as "long non-coding RNA (PPER_LNC001412)". Lineage: Eukaryota; Viridiplantae; Streptophyta; Magnoliopsida; Rosales; Rosaceae. The record is from RNAcentral.
CUGCCUGUGGACAUGUUGGGUGGGGGUGAGUAAAUGUUUGGGUGUAGAAUUGUAAAUUAAUUAAUGGGUGGCAUAGAAUGGGGUGGGUGAGGUGAGCCAUCAAUGUAUCAAAUUCGUUUCGUCAUGCAUGGUAUGAUUAAUCACACUGACGAAACCGCCAUGGAUGAUGGAUGAGAGAGCAUGGAGUGUCUCUAGUGUUUGGCCAUCUACCAUGCCCAAUUUUGCCAGUGGAAUUUGUUUUGUUUCUGCUGAAUUAUGGAGAUGUGGGGUCCAGUUAUACGCGGGCGGGAGGGCAGGAGCAUAUAGCACUUGCCGACUAGCUUUGACUCUUGGUUCAAAACAACAUCACGUCACGUCCUUCCUCUCACCGUCACGACUCACUUUGUUUAGCUUUUGGUUCUUGGGAGACUUUGAAAAAAACUAAAGAGAGAAGUUUUUUAAAAGAAGUUGAAAUUGAUAAAAGUGCUCUUAUUUAUUUUUUAAUUUUUUUAAGGAAUUUUUUAUAUUUGUAUGUAUUUUAGUUUGAAAAUUGAGAGAUUUUUCUGUAUUUUUUGAAAUUUUUUUGCUUUUUUCAAAAGUUUUUUUUUUUCCUAAAACCUAAACCUAAAUUUACUUUGGUUGUUUCGUUUCAGUAUUUAGCUUUUUAAAUUGAGUAAUGCUAUUUAGACACACAACAUUGACCACCUUAACUGACCACCUUAUGUGGCAACUGAUGUGUCAUGCCAUAUCAAUUAAUGAAUGUCGUCAUGUCAAUUCAAAAACAAAUUAAAAAACCCUAGCAUUCCUAGUGAGUGGCCUCAUAGUAGCAUUCAUUAAUUGACAUGGCAUGGUCAGUUAAGGUGGUCAAUGUUGUGUGUCCAAAUAGCAUAACUCUUUUAAAUUUAUUAUUUCAUGGUAUUUAUUUAUGGAUUUUAACCCUGACCUCACUUUUGCCUCAUGUGGCCACUUCCACUGCGGAAGGCAUUCCCGAGCAGGGGGGCCCAACGGCCAAAUUGCAACUCCAGCGCGCCAAGUCUAGCUCAGGUGAGGGGUCGGUCUUACGAGCCCAGGCAAGUCCACUAAUAAUUUCAAUCCAAGCCGUUAUUUGGAUAAAAUAACACAAUGCUAACAUCAGCAACUAAAAAAAAUUUAAAAAAAAAUUCCACAAUUUUUUUAAAUAAAUAUUUAGCCAUAUUAUUUACUUCCCACACUAAAAACUCUAUACAAAUUCAUUUCCUUAUAUCUCAUGUGAAUAAUAAUUAUCCUUGGCCUAUUCGGUGGAAACAAAAUUACAGGGACGACCACUAUUCAUGUAAAUAGUGACAGCCCUUUUCUUACCCAUACCUUAGGCCCUAUUUGGUUCAUGGGAAAGGAGACUUGUGAAUGGGAAAUCAAUUGCUUUCCCAUGUUUAGUAAGUUUAGGUAUGAGAAAUCGUUACCUGGCUCAUGGGAAAGUUUGGGAAAAUGAGUUAACAUUAAAUACAUAUUUUUUAUGACCAUUUUAUCCCCAUUAAUAAUUUAGAAUUACAAUAUAUGAUUAAAUGCAUUUUUUUAAUUUGAUUUAAUAUAGGCAUAAUUAAAAAUUUAUACAAACUUUGUUUUCAAUUCAUACUCAAAACAAACAUAAGAAAGGAAAUAAAGUGAUAUUUCCCUGUUACUUUCCCAACAUUACCAAACGUGGAAAAUAAAUCUUCCAUUCUUAAUCCUUGGAGAAUGACAUGGAAAAUAAUUUUCUUUCAAAUUCAUUCAAUGAACCAAACAGGGCCUAAGGGUGGAAAUACUCUUAGAAAUUUGUGCUUCUAAAUUUGCAUUACUGAGAAGAUGACUGCCCAGCUACUGUCCAGCUCAGCGUAUUAGCUCUCGUACUGGAAAUUGACAAAUCUUAAAGCCUCUCAUUUUCCCACCGUCCUAUUUAAAACCUCAAAUCAAUAAAAAAGCAGCAGGAUGGAUGAUUCAUGAUGGAUGAUUCAUGAUUGUGUAAGUAAAAGUUCAACCCCUUUCUUAAUAUCAUCCCUCUCGUUUAAUCAGACAACCAAAACACUCCAAAAUAUGAUGUGGACAAAACGCAACGGCCCGGCAACUUUCUGAGGCCCAAUGGGCUUCCCAGCCUCCGCUACUUUAGAACAUACUCAAGCCCUAAAUCUUUUUUGUCCAUUUCUGAUUGGCAAUCAUUCAUCACAUCAACCUAACCCGCACUUUAUUAUAAAAGUUAAACCAAGUUGGUUAAAGUGAAUAGGGUUUAGAUUAAAUAAAAAUUAAAUAUUAUUCGAAUUUAAAAAAAUAUUAAACUAAACCAAAUUUAUUGAUGAAUAGAUGAUUUCAGACAAAAAUACCUACCGAAUUCCAUUAUAAAUUAAGUGGUAAUUUAUAACUUGUAUUUUCCAACAUACUAGGUUACAAAAAAGUAGUGUUUCCAAUACAUUUGGGGACACGAUUACAACACAAAUGAAACAAGCUUAUGAUUACUCCUCAAGAAACAACUGCGUGUAGCGAAGAGGUUCUGUUCUUUGGCAAAUUCACUGCAUCUGAAUUCAGCUCAAAGUAUAUAAUUAUUAUUCAACAAAAGAAUCAAAUCAUAAAAUUUAACUUAAAAUGACAAACACAAAUGUAUAUGGCGCUCAGAAUGGGUGCAUAUCAUAUCAUGGAUUAUCUCAUAUGUCCAGACAUAAAUUAGAGCAACCUCAUCAUAGCAGCCAGUCUCCCAAUGCACAAAUCUAGAAACCCUAAUGCAAACACAUUACACAAGAAAAACAAUGCAAACAACUAGAAUUAUACAAAAUUCAAAGAUCCUCAGAGCCAUUCCACAAGUGGAAGUUGCAGACAAUCUACAUAGCAUCAGAUUCUGUCCGCCCGUCUGCUUUUCCUCAUCAUUGAACAUUUUCUUCAAAACUCAAAAUCAACGCCAACAGAAAUUAAAAAAAAAAACAGGGCAAUGCUUCAGAUAAUAAGCGGAGUAAUUUUGUCCACAUUUAUUUCGGUGUGUAGUAUAAGUGAAUGUUGUUUGUAGCAUCAUAUGCGUUGCCCUAUAUGAUAUGAUAUGAUAUAUCACCCAGAAAUCAAAUAAACAGAAAGUAAUUUACAAAUAAAUAAAAUAAAAUAAAAUUUUGAAAAUGGCAUCAGAUAAUAAGCGGAGUUUAUGUCAACACAAACAAUCAGUAUAUCAAUAAGCGGAAAAGAGUAUUCAUCAUUUGCCAUUUGACUCCACCAACAUAAACACAGAAUCGAAAAUCGAAAAUAAAAAAUAAAUCUGCAAAGAUGAAGAAAGUGAGUUUCGGUAGGUCCAUUUGACCCCAAAGCAAUCCUAUGUAUGCAAUGGGCUGGUAAGCCAACCUCUCGCUCUCUGCAUCCGUUAUAGCUCCUCCAGCAUUGAUUUUUUGCAUGGAAGGAGCGGGUAAACAGAUGCACACACAAUCAAAACCUAAAUAAUACCCAAACAGACGCUCAAUAUCUAGAUCCAGCAAGAAGGAAGGCAGGCAAGCAGAAACCAAACAACGAAAUUUGAUUCGGAUUUGUAUUGAAAGCAGGAGAGUGAUUGAGAACUGAGAGGAAUGAAAGGCGUCAAGCAGAGCUUAAAUAGGGGUUUGUGCGAAUUAGGGUUUUUUUCCCUUUUGGGCUUUCAAAUCUGAGAAUUUUCAUGGGCUUUUACAUAGCAAGCCCAAGCUCAAGCCCAGCUUUCAGGCCUGGUUAGUAA